UUUAUUUGAGAAGUAUCUAGUAUCCUCCUAGAAUUGUCUAGUUUAAUACAUUGAUUUUUAUGAAAGAUUUUUCUAGCUAGUACAAGAUGAUUCUAGAAUACUUCAUGUUAAUCAAGUUUAAUCUUAACACCCCCCCUUCAAACUUGAUUUGUGUCUCUCUUGGUAAUCUUCAUCUGAUUCCUGAAUUGAACAAACUUGUCAANNN
This 205-nucleotide long non-coding RNA is filed under the name Nicotiana benthamiana. RNAcentral describes it as "long non-coding RNA (NBEN_LNC024997)". The record is from RNAcentral. Lineage: Eukaryota; Viridiplantae; Streptophyta; Magnoliopsida; Solanales; Solanaceae.